Molecule: long non-coding RNA, 204 nt
Organism: Trematomus bernacchii (emerald rockcod)
Lineage: Eukaryota; Metazoa; Chordata; Actinopteri; Perciformes; Nototheniidae
Exons: 3
Source: RefSeq, a predicted model, not a curated record
CAUGAUAUACGAAGACUUUGAAGAUGUUUCAGCCAGGAAUGCUGCAUCCCGCCGCUCUGUUGAAGACUUCAAGGUGCCUGCUGCAGCGCCUGGAAUGAAAAUGUACAGACUGGUUGUUGUGAGUUUUGGACUCCUGUGUAUCCUACAAGCUGCUCUCAACAUUUCCCUGCGUCUCACUCGCUUUUCACAGCAAAACUCCCUGAC